This 808-nucleotide ribosomal RNA is filed under the name uncultured bacterium. Its description in RNAcentral is "bacterial SSU rRNA". It matches the Rfam family "Bacterial small subunit ribosomal RNA", at positions 8 to 798 of the family's 1533-position model. The record is from RNAcentral.
AGAGUUUGAUUCUGGCUCAGGAUGAACGCUGGCGGCAUGCCUAAUACAUGCAAGUCGAACGAGGUUUAAUAGCUAGCUUGCCAGUUGCUAAACCUAGUGGCGAACGGGUGAGUAACACGUGGGUAACCUGCCCUUCAGUUGGGAAUACCUAGAGGAAACUUUAGUUAAUACCGAAUACGUACGAGAGAGGCAUCUCUUUCGUAUAAAAGAAGCGAUUGCUUCGCUGAUGGAUGGACCCGCGUCGCAUUAGCUAGUUGGUGAGGUAACGGCUCACCAAGGCUCGGAUGCGUAGCCGACCUGAGAGGGUGAUCGGCCACAAUGGGACUGAGACACGGCCCAUACUCCUACGGGAGGCAGCAGUAGGGAGUUUUCGGCAAUGGGGGGAACCCUGACCGAGCAAUGCCGCGUGAAUGAUGAAGGUCUUUGGAUCGUAAAGUUCUGUUGUCGCUAUGGAAAACCUAGAGGAGGAAAUGCCUUUAGCUUGACCUGGCUUCCAGAAAGCCACGGCUAACUACGUGCCAGCAGCCGCGGUAAUACGUAGGUGGCAAGCGUUAUCCGGAAUUAUUGGGCGUAAAGAGUGAGCAGGCGGCAGUUUAAGUCUGAAGUCAAAUGCAGUGGCUCAACCACUGUCCGCUUUGGAAACUGAACAGCUAGAGUACGAGAGAGGUAUGUGGAAUUCCAUGUGUAGCGGUGAAAUGCGUAGAUAUAUGGAGGAACACCAGAGGCGAAGGCGGCAUACUGGAUCGAUACUGACGCUCAGUCACGAAAGCGUGGGUAGCAAAUAGGAUUAGAUACCCUAGUAGUCCAC